Molecule: ribosomal RNA, 462 nt
Filed under: uncultured bacterium
Lineage: Bacteria
Description: partial 16S ribosomal RNA
Rfam family: Bacterial small subunit ribosomal RNA
Source: RNAcentral
GACGAACGCUGGCGGCGUGCUUAACACAUGCAAGUCGAGCGACGCCCUUCCUUCGGGGAGAUGACGGAGCGGCGAACGGGUGAGUAACACGUGGGCAACCUGCCCCUAGCUCUGGGACAACACCGGGAAACCGGUGCUAAUACCGGAUACGACAUCGAGCGGCAUCUCUCGAUGUGGAAAGUUUUUUCGGCUAGGGAUGGGCCCGCGGCCUAUCAGCUUGUUGGUGGGGUAAUGGCCCACCAAGGCGACGACGGGUAGCCGGCCUGAGAGGGCGACCGGCCACACUGGGACUGAGACACGGCCCAGACUCCUACGGGAGGCAGCAGUGGGGAAUAUUGCGCAAUGGGCGAAAGCCUGACGCAGCGACGCCGCGUGAGGGAUGACGGCCUUCGGGUUGUAAACCUCUUUCAGCAGGGACGAAUUCAGACGGUACCUGCAGAAGAAGCACCGGCCAACUACGUG